RNAcentral lists this ribosomal RNA (253 nucleotides) under uncultured bacterium. RNAcentral's name for it is "partial 16S ribosomal RNA". It matches the Rfam family "Bacterial small subunit ribosomal RNA", at positions 524 to 776 of the family's 1533-position model. The record is from RNAcentral.
UACGUAGGUGGCAAGCGUUAUCCGGAAUUAUUGGGCGUAAAGCGCGCGCAGGCGGUCUCUUAAGUCUGAUGUGAAAGCCCCCGGCUCAACCGGGGAGGGUCAUUGGAAACUGGGAGACUUGAGUGCAGAAGAGAAGAGUGGAAUUCCACGUGUAGCGGUGAAAUGCGUAGGGAUGUGGAGGAACACCAGUGGCGAAGGCGACUCUUUGGUCUGUAACUGACGCUGAGGCGCGAAAGCGUGGGGAGCAAACAGG